CCACCGGAAGGUAUAUAAGUAUGUUCUACUUUAGUAUCAUACGUUAUUAAUUUGUCAUAUGCAUUUAAGUUGAUAUUUUUGUUUGUGCAGGUAAAUAAUAUCUUGUGGAUUCUAGUUAUCCAAAUAGAAAGGGGUACCUUGCACCUUAUAAGGGUCAGAAGUACCACAUUUCAGAAUGGCAAAAUGCGAGGCAACCUAUUGGUAGCAAAGAAGUAUUCAACUUUGCACACUCUUCGCUACGUAAUGUUAUAGAGCGAUCAUUUGGGGUGCUUAAAAUGAAGUGGAGAAUUCUUCUAAGUCUCCCUUCUUUUUCGCUUAAGAAACAAUCCAAGAUAAUUAUUGCUUGUAUGGCAUUGCAUAACUUCAUUAGAGACAGUGCCCUACACGAUAGAGACUUUGAUCAACUUGGACCUAAUAGCCUUGGUCAUGAUGUACCCGUAGGUGAGAGUAGUAGUAGCACAUCUGAUGAGUUAGACAUGAGUGCAUUUCGAGAUGCAAUUGCUAAUGCAUUAGUGUCAUAGUUUAAUAUGUGAAUGUAACGAUACUUAUGUUGUAAUGAACUCUACUAAUUAUAAUGUAAUGACCUUUUGUUGCUUCGGUGUUUAUGUGUAUCGUUUGUUCAAACAGAAUCUGCAAUCUGAGAAUAUGCGUAUCCAAACACCUAAAUUCUAACCAACAGCUUUUCUCCACAGCAGGCCAACCAAACACCUAAAUUCUAACCACCAGCUUUUCCCCACAGCCAGCUUUUCAGAAAAGCUAUUCAGAAAAAACCGAACCAAACAGGCCCGUAGGGCGCUGUGUGUGUGGUGGUGUCACGGGUGCGUGCUGCGCGAGCAGGCACCGAGCGAGCACGCACGUCUGCUCUUUGCGCGACAGCAGAGGGGUGGGCCACGCAGACGGUUGGGCCACGAGGCGGACUGCAUGGGGACGCGACAAUGGACUGCUGGUGAAGCAAGGGCUGGGCGCGGGAGCGGGGCUAAGGCUAGCCUAGUAGCGCCGGGGGCGUGGGCCCCGGAGUGGGCCAGAAGCAGAUCGAGGGGCACCGGACCUCUUCCCUUUUUUGUUUUCUUCUUUUCUUUCCUAUAUUUUACAUUUCCUUUUCUAUUCAGUUUCAAAACUCGAGCACAAAACCCAAGACAAUAUGAAUCCAUAUCAAACAUAUGCAACAUGCAAAAUAAAAUAUGUGCUUCAUCAUGGUGCAACAUUUCACGAAUAACCUAGGUUUUUAUUUUCUAGGAUAUAAUUACAUGUUCAAAAAUUAAUCCCCUUUAAAGAAAAAGAGAAAAGGCUAACUUGGAGGGGAAAGAAAGGAAGAGUAACCCCUGAGUUUGUUGGAUAUUAGAAAAGAAAUUUCUAUACCCCUAAAUUUAGGGUGUUGCAUUGCCUCCAAUUCGCGCUGGAACCACCGCCGCCAACAACACAGGCAAAGAACAUAUGGGUUAAGCACCGGGCCUGCUAGUCCUCGACACACCGACAACACGACUCGCUCUACGAUGCCAUCAAGCUAGUGCAUGCCUCAGGUGUCAGCCACUAAGGCUAGUCACCCGGACUUUGGUCCCUCGGUCAAGUCCCAGCGCUCGUCCUUCACCGCUCCAGGUCCAUCGGCAUGAACCUGCAUAACCUUCACCUUCGCCAUUGACCAUCGUCCCUGUGCUCCACACAUGCACACCACAAGCCGACAGACAUGGUUGCACAAUACAUAAUUCACAGCUCGGUUAGUCCACGACUCAACCUGAGAUGCUAUUCGUUGACAAUCACUCAUCAUCAACCCAUAUCACAAGGGACAAAUCGACCUUGUGUUCGCAAUCAAAUAGGCUAGCCAUAAUUUCUUCAGUGAUCCUUUCAACUCUGGCCUUCUCCGCGGCAUCAUAGUAUGCCACCAAGGCGAGUUCACUGCUCUUUCCUUCUCUAUCCAUCUUAAAAAACUACUAAGAUUGCAAAAAGUGAAGCUCUAUCGAAAAGAGGUCUCCAAAGUAAGCUUCGGGGUGCAAGCUAAUGGCAACUGCAUGAUGGCGAAAGCAAGAAAAUGCGAUGUCUAAUUGCAUCGAACCUGAUCUAUUUUAUAAGCAAAAUAAGCAGGAAUUUAAAAUUCAAAUUUUAUCCCACCACUGCAAGUGGUCCCCUUACAAUAGGUUCUUUUACAAAGGCGUAUUUUAAAGAAUUUGUUUUCGCUAACGAGCUCAGGGAAUAUGUUUUUUUGGACCUUCGGCAUGAGUUCUUUAUUUAUUUCGCUGUCUAGGCUCGUUAUGAAAAAGGAACUAAUACCGUGAUGGGCUACUGAUGGGGGGUCCUCUUUGGCCGAAGGUCUUCAAAAUACUAACUCCAGCUAUUUUUAGAAUGUUUUAACUACAACAUGAUAAAGUGUCGAAGGAUACCUUUGUCUAGGGGAUGAUGUGCUGAUGUCAUGGUUCAAGGUUGAAGCAGCAAGCUUCAAUUCAGUGUGGCGCAUACAUGACAAACAAACAAGCUAAAGUCAUGAGAAGUCCUCAAGACUUGUUCAAUAAGGUAAUGGAAGGAAAAGACAUAGAUGCCUUUGUUCAAAUUUAUAGCUUAUAUGUAUAGGUUUGAGGGUAUAAUUGUAAUUUUGCCGAAGCCAUACGUCCCGACUAUAAAUAGAGGAACAUUGCCAUGCAUUGGACACACCUUUUUUUAGGCUUGCAUCGCUCUACUUAUGAAGCUGUGUACAUCCAUCAUAUUCGUGCUACUGGCUAUAAAGCUGAAGAUAUAUUUGUGAUCAUUUGUUAUAUUGUAAAGAAUGAAGCAAAGUGUUAAUAUAUCCAGAUGAGUAAUUCAUUCUAUCCUUGGUAUAUUGUGCAUUACUCUGGUUGCUCCUAUCAAGGGGGAGUCACCUUCAAAUUCGGGAGAAAUAUUGAAAGAGUUGUUUGCCUCUCUUUGGAGAAACUAGCUUUGAUUCAGCUGUUGUGCUGAUUUUGUGCUCCGAUGUGGUUUUGAUAGCUAUCUAGUGGUGUUGAGCCCUUCUUGAGGACUAGCUUCUUUCGCUUGGUCGUGUUGAGUCGUUGCUCAUUUCUUUAGGGACCAAGCUUUUCUCGCUCUAGAUGACUAGUUUUGGCUUCUAUACGACUUUUGAUCAUUUGAGUGAGUUUCUCUUCUUCUUCCUUAUUUUACUAAUAUAUAAUCAUGUGGUGGUGUUGACAAUACACUCAUCAGGGGGGAGAUUGCAAACACAAAAUUGAUUUCUCCAUUAUGAUUCUGGUUGAUGAUGAGUGAUUGUCAACGGGUAGCGUCUCAGGUUGAGUCGUGGACUAACCAGGGUAUGAGUUAUGUGUUGUGCAACCAUGUCUAUUGACUUGUGAUGUGUAGGUGUGGAGCACAGGGACGGUGGUCGACAGCGAAGGUGAAGGUCAUGCGGGUUCCUACUGAUGGAUCGAGAGCGACAAAGGACGAGCGAUGGGACUUGACCGAGGGACCAGAGAAGUGGGGUGACAAGCCAUGGUGGCUCACACCUAGGACACACACUAGUGCGAGGACAUGGCAGAGCGGAUCGGGUUGCUGGCGUUGUCGAGGAUUGGCAGGACAUGUGUCCAUAACAUGGGGGACGCGCAUGCGGUGCGCUAGUCGUGGUGGUUUCGUGGUUGAGCCUCAAAACUACAGAGCUACUGAUUUUGCUAAGUUUGGACCUCAAAACUCAACGAUGGUGGUUCCGACAGGAAUAGGAGGUGACACGUAACAUCAUCGCGAAGGGUGUUGAGGUGAAGCAACUUCGUUUGGAGCAUGUGGCCGUCAGAUCAAAAUCCCAAGAGUUAGUCCAUUUUGCCCCUAACUAAGUGGAUAAGCUCAAUGUAUCUAGGGAUAGUUUAGGAAAUAGAAAUAACCUUCCAUAAAUAGAUGGGUGGGUUGGUCUGGACAACGAUGUCUUUGGCUAUUUUCAUUUGGCACUAGUUUAGAAACUCUAGUUUUCCAUUUCCUAGUUUAGCCGAGAUUCAAAGGUGUCUUAUUCGCAUCUGUGUCUUGUAAUCUUCAGCUCUGUAUCCAAAUGAAGGGUGGCUAGAUCCAUUCACAUAGUAGUUCAAAUCUUGUGCUCAGUUUUGUCUCCACUGCAGUUUUUAGUUCGAGUGUGUUUUCGUUCUCGUUUCCUCCCCUCUCUUUUGGAUUUGUGAAAAGAACCAUCAAGUUCUUGAGUUGUGGGUACUGUUGGGUGAUGGGAUAUGCUCUUUGGAUCACUGUAUAUGCCCUGUUGGUGCAAUUUUUGGUCAUGAUCCGAGUUGAUCUCAUUUUGAAUUUGUUCUAGAAAACCCCAACUCUUUCAACAAAUCUGAUCUAGGCUCGGAGUUUUUUUGUUUCUCUGGUUGACACUUCAUUAAUCAUCUUCUUUGUGUCUGCACGAACUCCUGCUCUAAAAUUUUGUAGAAAGUUGUGUAGGUUCGUAAGUAGUAGUUUAGUUUAUUCAAUUGACACUGGAUUGAGACAUCCCUUUGUGUUUGUGUUUGGAAUUGGGAUCAAGCAACAGUGCUCACAAGUUGAGGAAUUUUUAGUGGCACCAAUUUAUCCCCCUCUGGUUGACUCACCGGUCCUUCACACGGCCGCCCCAACUCUUUGCAGACCCGAUGGAAGUAUUCGAAGACCGACCGAGCAUGGACUUGCAUGCUUUGUGCGAAACCCUCUGAGCGUAGUUGUUGGAUAAACAGUUCAAUGUCACCUCAUGCUAUGCCCUCGUGUCGGCUAAAUUUUUCCUUAAGAACGCAACCUCAGACUCAGCAGACUUCACUUUCUUGGUUUGCUGCUCUGCCUCAGCCUUCUUGAGCUCAAGCCUCCGCUUGGCCUCCACACAUUCUUCCUUGGCCGCGUAUGCCUCCUUUCGAGCCCUCGCCAUGAGGGCUAGCACGUUAACAACAAUUGCAAGCUAACAAAAACAUUCAGGUGUUAAGCACACACCCAAGAGGGUAGUGAAAGGGAAAUAGGGUUUAAACCUUUUCCUAUAAAUAAUUUUGGUGGUUGAAUGCCCAACACAAAUAAUUGGACUAACUAGGUUGCUCUAGAUUAUAUACUCUACAGGUGCUAAAGGUUCAACACAAACCAAUAAAAAGAUCAAGUUAAGGUUCAAAAAGAAAGGAGCAAAAGAAACCCAAGUGUGCCCUGAUCUGGCGUACCGAACUGUCCGGUGUGCCACCGGACACUAUCCGGUGCACCAGGGCCAUACGACUUCAAACUCUUCACCUUCGGGUUUCAGAAGCGCCUCUCCGCUAUAAUUCACCGAACUGUCCGGUGUGCCACCGGACUGUCCGGUGCACCAGCGGAGCAACGGCUAGCCAGCGUAAUGGUCGACUGCAACGGUCGCCUGCAAGCUACAGUGCGCUGACAGUUCGCGCAGAGGUCAGAGCAGCCGCCAGAAGGCGCACCAGACAGUGAACAGUGCCUGUCCGGUGCGGCACCGGACUGUCCGGUGCCACAUGAAGCCAAAGCUCCAACGGUCGAAACCGUCAGAACCCUAACGGUUGGGUGACGUGGCUGGCGCACCGGACAUUGUCCAGUUUGCGCACCAGACUGUCCGGUGCGCCCAUCGAUAGCAGCCUGCCCCAACGGUUGAAUUGGUGGUUGGGGGCUAUAAAUACCUCACAAUCACCUCCACUCCAACCAUCCAAGCAUUCACUACUCCUUAUUCAAUACAAGAGCAAUAGACUCCACUCCAAAGACACAAUUCAAGUGAUCGAUCCGCUCAAAGUCUCCAAUUCAACUCUACCGCAUUUAGACUUGUGAGAGGAUCCUUUUUGUUUCUUUGUUGCUCUUGUUUGCUUGGCUUGGCUUUCUUUUCUUUCUCACUUCUUACUCUCAAGCUUUGUAAGCGAGGCCAGAGACAUCAAUUGUGUGGUGGUCCUUGCGGGGUCUAUGUGACCCGUGAGAUUAAGGAAGAAGGCUCACUCGGUCUAAGUGACCGUUUGAGAGAGGAAAAGGGUUGAAAGAGACCCGGUCUUUGUGACCACCUCAAUGGGGACUAGGUUCUUUAGAACCGAACCUCGGUAAAACAAAUCAUCGUGUCAUCCGCUUUACUUUGUUGGUUGAUUUGUUUUCCCCUCUCUCCCGGACUCGGAUUUUAUUCUAACGCUAACCCCGGCUUAUAGUGUGUUUAAAGUUGUAAAUUUCAAUUUCCGCCUAUCCACCCCCUCUAGGCGACUUUCAGGUAGCAAACUCGAUAUCGGGAAAAUAUAGUAAUCUUACUGAGCAGAGGGGUGAACGGCCUCCCUUAAUGCCCCUCCGUAACCAUGGAGGCAUCAACCUCCCCCGUGCAAGGAUGGAGGAGUGCACGGUUUCCCACGCCUUGAUCGUCGAACCCGACCCAGCCAAGGCUUCCUGGACAGCCAGCACCCCACCUACGCAACACAAAAAAUGUUAAAACCCCUAUUGGUGAUGCUGCUUUCAGCGGCGACCUUGUCUCCAGCUCGAUAUCAGCGAGGUUGAAGUCAUUGACCACCAGUGGUGCAGAGGCCCCUCCAGCCGCCCCGACUAUCGCUGCCUCAGCCAACGCCGCGGUCUUUGCCUCCUUAGCAGACCUCGUAGCUAUGACAGGGUCAGCGGCACGGGCCUUCCACUUUUUCUACUGUCCCUCUAUGUCACAACUCCGUAGGUCGGAGCAGCCACCUUGCCCUUCUGGUCCAUUAAUGUUAUGUGAGUACAGGAAUAUAAGCAAGUCCCUUGCUACUCUGGCUAGCGCGACAUCUUCAGUCACAUGCCACAGACAUUGCCCGCACAACUAGGGGUGGAUAUCGAGCCAGCUCGGCUCGUUAUGGCUCGGCUCGUUAUAGCUCGUAACUAUAACGAGCCAGCUCAGCUCGGCUCAUUAUACUAACGAGCUAAACAGCUGGCUCGGCUCGGCUCGUUAGGAAGCUCGAGCCAGCUCGUUAGGCUCGCGAGCCACACAACUAAAUACAAAGAUGUAUGUACAUAAAUAUAUAUAUAAUCGAAAAAUCAUAUUUUAAGUGUUUACACUACAAACCCAAAACCUUUAUAGUAUUAUUAUCAUAUCAUUAUCCUAGCGCUUCUAACUUUUAAUAUCAAAUUAAAUAACCAAAUAUGUAUUAACUUAUAGAUUUAUAAACCCUUAUUAUAAUAAGAUAGCAACAAGCAUCAUUAUAAAGCAAUUCAUCAUCUAUUUCACAAACAUGUAACAUUUUAUUACACAACACUAACAUCAUAUGCUGCUAGAAACAAAGUUCACAAAACCAUAACCAAUAACCAAAUAUUAAAUAUGCAAUGUAGGUAUGUAGCAAUACAAUAAUGCAAAUAUUUAAGCACAUGACACAUCCACACAUGUCCAUAUCACAGAUCAGAACUACGAAAAAACAAGACUAUGAGAGAUGAGACGACAUCAACGACUAGAUAAACUUGUGUUGUGGCUUAGCUCGUUUGGCUCGCGAGCUAGCUCACGAGCUAAACCGAGCUGACUCAUUAGAGAACCGAGCUAGAAUGCUAGCUUGGCUCGCUACAAAAUUAAAACGAGCCGAGUCGAGCCGAGCUACUAACGAGCCGAGUCGAGCGAGUUAUCGAGCCACGAGUAUUUCGUCCAGCCCUACGCACAACCCAUCGCUUAGCGCUCCCUGAGCCAACCCUCAUUGGAAUUAACUCCUUUCCCAACAUACCCCCGAUCAUUUGCUCGAUGAAGUCCUCCAUAGGUCUAGCCUCCGCGUCGAGCACUGAGCCAGUUGGUUUGCAUGUCUCUGCCAUUUCAAGGGUGAAGGUUGCGGAGGAGGCCCCCACGUCCAUCUCCCUUGAGAUGGCUUGCGGAGUCUUUGUUGAUGUCUAAGACAGUGCAAAUACACUCGUUGGCGUCCUCCGCCUCUUCGGGCGCACCUUUGUGUCAUUCAUAUGCAAGCCCAAUCUGUCUAAACACACGAUUCAAGUGGACGCGGCUCGAUACCCUUAUCCACCUCAUGCUCUAUAAUAGGACCAACCAGGUCUUCUGCCUCUUUGUCUGUCUCUGCUACAAAAAUGUCCCAUGAACGAUCACCCAGAUCCACAACAAAAGCAUGACUUAAAAUUUGUUUCAAAAAACCAGCAAAGUCUCUUCGCACAAUUGGUCCAACAAACCACCCACGGCCCAAUGGCCAAAUCCCGCAAGCUAGGUACUCUUCAACCAAGUCCCUGCCACUACAAGUAACCACAGCAAAAUUGAAGGCCUGAUCAUCGCGAUCCCUCUCUGCAACUACAUAGCACCAAAAAGCCUCAAACUAAAAUGAAGACAUAAUGCUUGGCUGAGGCCAUGACUUGCCCUCCUGAUAGCGCACAUAAAACUAGCUCUCCGUCCACCCUCACUUGUUCUUUGUAUAGGGGGCUAACUCAACCACCUUCUUCUUGGUCUCGCCCGCCUUCGGGUAAACGUAAAGCACUCGAACUGAUCAACAACCCCAUCCAUAACCCUUUCCUAUCAAUGCAUGCAAUAGCGUUUAGCGAAGACCUCAACUGAUGGAGAGCUCCAUCGAAGGUGGUCGUCGCAUAAACAAACUUGCUCAAAGCCACUAUAGCAUUCAGUGUCAAUUGGUGAAGUCGAACCUUGUAUUUUUCAAGCACCCCAAGUAGAAACUCGUGGCAUGGCAAGCGAGUUCCGACAGCAAAAAGUCUCUCGAAGACCAUGACCUCGCCUUUCGGUCGUGGUGUGGUUUCUGCUCCUGUGGCCUGGCCAUAACCAGUAGGAAAGUGCCCCAAUGAUAUCAUCAUCUCCUUAACUCUCUACAACGAGGUUUUUGGCCCACCCAACUCAUAGUUUUUAGGGCCUAGCCCACCACAACGACCAACCCUAGCGAAAGACAAAGCGGCACCUGACUCGACCGCUGGAGUAGUAGGAGUUAUCCCGCUGCUCGGCAACGGCGGCGGCGGCGUCACCAUACUACCACCACUUGGAAGAGGAGGCAUGACUGUGUACUGAGGACAAUGAUGACUGGCGGUUUUUAGGCAUGUCAAUGUGGAGGAGAUCGACAUCGUUCUCUCCGCCAGCAGCGCAACUAAUAGUGGCUUCAAAAACGACACCGCGGUAGCCUAGCCUUGGGACCGCGCAAGCGGGCAUUUAUAGUCAAAUCCCAGUGGCUAACAAUACAACCAUUGAUUUUUUUUUAACGGUCACAUCCAGCGGCCCCCCGAGGUGAUUCACCAAAUGAUCGAGGGCAGCACUUGUCCCCAUCAAAUGAAGGACUUCGGGAUUGGCCCUUCACGAUGAACCAUUCCCUCAGGGGCUGCUAUUGGAGUGGUGGUCGAACCAGUCCUCGAUCAGCAACGUGAAGGUUUGCCCCUCGUCUUGACUAACCAUAAUUGUACAUGACCACAAACAACCGGAGCCUUCGCCUCUUAGCGAUUUUGAUGGAGCCUCCAAUCCAAUAGCUAACGACCGACUGUGAUGAGGACAGGCACCCAAGCGAAGGACCAAGCACGGGACAAGUAUCAAAACUAAGGACUUCGCUGAGCAUGACUCAAUGGCCUUCAGCACAAGCUACUCUCCCAAAAAGCCCGAAGGGCAUCAAGGCGUGAAGGCUCCCCGGAUGACAAUGAAAGCUUCAGGGAAUGUGACCCAUCCAAAUUGCUAGUCUAGAGCAGGCUCCUUGGAGGGCCCACAUGUCAUUGUAACUAGUGGGUAUAACUAUGAGUGCACACCAUUAAAGGGGGUUGUGGUGUUGUAAUUACCCUGUUACACGAAAUAUUGUGAAAUUGUAGUUAGUAACCAAGGGUAUGAACAUACUUUAUACCACCUAUCCUAGGUUGCCCUAUAAAUACCCCCGUCAUGUAGCUAAAUGGGACACGCAUAACGAGACGCUACAGUUUCCUACCUAACGUUUUGUUGUGCAUUGUGCCCUCCUUUCCACCUUUGAGUGUUCGGGUCCACCUAUCAGUACCCAAUAGGCCCCUUAGACUUAAAGUAUUUAUUCAUUUGUUGCCUAACAAGCAAUGAAGUAGAUAACUAGUUAUACACUUCAUUCUUAUAAAUAAAUUUGAUAUUGUAAACUAAAAACACAUUAAGAUAAACUACAAUGAUUAAUUGAUUAUUCGAAAUUAAAUCCAAUGUCUUUGCUAGUCUAUGGGCACUACUUUCUAAUUGCACACAAUCGAUCUGAGUACUGAGGAACAAAUGCAAGAUAGUAGGAGGCAAAGUCGUAGAGGAAGAAGUAGAGGCGAAGUCGCAAAACAUCAAACAACGCACGAGCAAAGGGAGUCAAACGAGUGAGGGAGAACGGUAGCCGGCAGACUGCGCUUCAGAUCCUCGUAUACGUAAAUUGGUCUCGGUGGCUGGCCCCCUCCAUCGUGGGCCCCUGGCUGUCGCUCUUGUGGCCAUGGUUCAGAGCCAGGCCUAAUUAAUUCUCACACAAAUGGAACCCUUACAACAUCUCCAACAGUAAUCCUAAAUGGAAUUGUAUUUUAAAAUAUAUGACUCUAACACCAAAAACUUGCUCAAACAAAGAUCCUAUUUCACAAAUUCAUCAAUUAAUUAUAGGUCUUGGCCUCUCUGGUCCUAAAUAUUGGAUCCCAUAUGUUAGAGCCCUAUCCUUGUUUUGUAUAUUAUUCCCAAUCUUUUAUUUUCUAAAUAACAUGAUCUAUUUCCUAAUAACAUGAUAUAAGACUCGACUAUUUGAGCUGCAAAUGUUUUUGGCCCUAAACUCUUGAAAUCAUGUUCUAUUAUAAUUUUAGUACUCAACUUCUUGUUGGAGAAUCUAAGCACAAAUGGAAGUUUGUGGAAUUUAGGAGCAAGCAAUCUGAGCUUGUUGAUAAGACAAGUCUAGAUUGAGGAAGGCUGAUAGAAUUAGUUAUCAAUCUGGGGGUGUUUAGUUUCUUUAGUCACCCUCCUAAAUUUUUAAAACUAAAUUCCAGUUCCUAGAAUUUCUAUCUAGGAGGUCUCAUCUAAAGUUUCGCAUAAACCUGGCGACUCACACUUUUGGUCCGGGCUCAUGAAAGUUAAGGAUGUUUUAUUUAGCCUUGGUGUUUUUACCCUUAGAAAUGGUGAACAAAUUAGGUUUUGGGAGGAUAAAUGGUUAGGUAACCAAACCCUCAUGGUUCAAUACCCAUCCUUAUACCAAAUUGUUCGGCAGAAAAGUGCCACAAUUGCCAAUGUCUUCAUAUAUGUCCUGCUUAAUGUUUCUUUUGUAGAGCUUUAGUGGGUCAUAACUUGGUUUUAUGGCAUAACCUUGUUCAGCAUCUUGUGUAUGUUAGAUUAAAUACUGGAAAAGAUUAUUUUAGUUGGAAUCUAACCUCAUCGGGGCAAUUUACUGUUCAACCGAUGUAUAGGACUUUGAUCAACAAUGGUUAUGUCUUCCAUCACAAAGUUCUUUGGAAAUUAAAAUUGUCUUUGAAGAUAAAAAUCUUUGUAUGGUAUUUACUCAAAGGAGUGGUACUCACUAAAGAUAACUUAGCAAGACGAAAUUGGCAGGACAAUUAAAAAAUGUGUGUUUUGUGUUAAAGAUGAAACAAUUCGACAUUUAUUUUUUCAUUGCCGCUUUGCCAGUCAUUUGUGGCGACUUUUGUUUUGGUGUUUUGGUGUGAGACCACCUCGGUCAAUUCACCAUGUUUUUGGGAACUGGCUAAUGGGCGUGGAUUAAAAAGCUAGAAAGCUUAUUAUUUCAGGUGUUUCAGUUUUAUGCUGGGCUAUCUGGAUAAGUAGGAAUGAUUUAGUUUUUGGCAACGUCCCUAUGCUAACUUCUCUAUAGGUACUCCUCAGGAGAACUGUUGGGGACUUGUUCUCAAAUGCUAUGAAUUAAGAACAAGGCAACAUAAAAUGUUAAAUAUUAAUGCCCUUCGUCCACUGAAGCAUUAUUUCCCCAAAGAUUUAAUGAACUUCGGACGAAGGCCACGAGCAAGAUAUCACGAAGGUCAUACCUUCGUGAUUAGAGUUAUGAAACAAUGUAGGAUGAAAUAUAAAAUAUUUGAAACAUAAGGGAAUGAUAUAUCAAAAACACAUAAGAUUAUUCGUAUAUUUUUUUAUACAAGCCUAAAUAUUAAAACAUAAUAUUUAGGUACAUUUAUACCUUCGCCUUGGCAGAAAGCAAUAAUUCCAGCGUAAUGUGUCAGUGAUUACAAGAUUGCGUGAACAGUACAGGGGUACUGUUCACCUAUUUAUAGGCACAGGGCGCAGCCUGUGUAUAAUUACAUUUAUGCCAUUUACAAUCAACUACAAUAAUGACACAGAAUAUCAUGGGUCUUUAGGUCAUUUCAUCUUUAAGUCGGUUCACCCCUUCGUCUUGAGACAUGUCACUUGUGCCGAAGCUUUAUAGGCGAUAGCUUCGACAUUGCUUUUGAUAGGAUCUGCCGAAGGUGUUUCUUUCUUUAGGAUCUUCGGCUAUGAAGCAUACCCCCAACAGUAGCCCCUUCGCGGUGCUAGAUCGUUUUUCGUAAAGAGCUUGAUUCGUGAAAAAAUCUUCUAGGCUUCGGGAUGCCGAAGAUCUGAAAACACCUUCCUUGAGCUCGUUGCUGAGAAACGAUUAAAAUAAUCUGUGCGCGAGGUGGCCCCAUCUUCUAGCAGUUGCGCGUGCCCUGGUGAUUCACCUUCUCGGACUCUGUGGCCCACCGUUCAGUGAGUGCGGGUGACUGUUUGUCUGGUGCGGAAGACCUUAACGAUUUACCUUCCCACCUGUGGCACUAUAUAAAUAGAUGGGUAGGUGUGAAGUUAUCACAACAUUCAUUGCUAUUGCACUGUUUUGCUACCAAAACAUUGACCAAAGCCGAAGCUUGCUUACUGCAUCUUCAUCCGAAGCUAUUUGUUUUACUCAAGCUUCGUAACAAGAAAAACUUCGGCAAAGUUAAAAAUUUUCAACUUCAUUCGAAAAACAAGAAAUUCAAUCAUCAGAUGGCCAGAGUACGUUCAACAGCUAGGGUUACUCGCGACGGAGAGGAAGCCGAAGGUACCGAAACUGCUCCAAUCUCUGAAGUGAUGAAGCGUUCAGGGCUGGUAGUAUCGGAGGAUGCACCUGCCGCUGAAGCUGAGAAGGCUGAUGCUGAGGAAGUUGAGUCAGAAGAUGAUUACAGCGUAGUGCCAACUAAACCCAGCCACCUGGAGUUUGGGAAAUCCACCAUUUCCGAAGAUGACAUGUCGAAGCUGAUGAAUUUGGGCUAUUUCAAUGAAGCGAAGAAAGAGCUGGUUCAUUUCAGCGGGGAGGAGAUUACUCCGAAGCCAGGAAAGGAUGAAGUAGUCAUCUUCAAAAGCUUCUUUAAAGCUGGUUUAAGAUUUCCUUUAAACAAGAUGAUUGCUGAUGUUUUGAAGAAGUUUGGGAUCUAUCUUCAUCAACUAACUCCUAACGCUAUCGUUAGGCUUAGCUGUGACGGAACCUCCCAAGUAAUUAGGCCCACCUACAGUUGUCCUUGUCCAACGGACCUCAGACAACCCUGUAGGUGCCCCUGGAUCACUUGACAAGUUCGGUAUCUUCUUUCUUACCUUUCCAGGAACGUUUCACCCGUCUUGCAGACAUUACAGAACAUUGGAGAUAUAGAAAUGCGGAAGCGAUUACAUAAACUUACAUUUAUUUAGAAAUUAAGAUCUAGUUAUUUAUUACAGACCAGAGCUAUAAAACGAGUGCUGAGUAGUAUUAUUACAAUACCAAGGGAGGCAAAAACUCCUCCCGAUAGUUUUAUAAAAGUUUUUAUGGAGGACCAAGUCCUCCCGCAGCUUCACUCUUGUUUCUCUUCAUUUGGAAACCACCUUGGAGCAAAAGCAACAAAAGUUUGUUGCUUCCCCACCUAAAAACAACGGGGGAAUAAACCCUGAGUAUGGAAUUACUUAGCAAGUCUUACCCGACUAAAGAAAAGACUCUCAAGGGUAUGCUGGUUAAGGGAGUCAAGGUAUGGCUUCUCAAUAAUUAAAGACUCUGUUUUGCAGAAAUGCUUACUAAAGUGGAUCCUUAAAAAUCCAGUUUUAUUUGUCAAGUUAAGUAAAAUUACCUGCAACUAGAGUUCUUUCUACCCUAGUUCAAUCACUUGACCUACACUAGCCAGUUUCUUAACAAAACCUUUCAUCUUUACUGGAGUUCUACGUAUAGGGCAGUGACCAAGUCUUCAUAACCACGAAGGUACGGCGAUCCGAAUCGAUUAUACUCAGCUGAGGAUCUCCAAUCACACGACAUAUGUAGCACUUAACCUUGCAUAUGUCAACCCGCCACCGGGGUUCUUAAGACCAGACCAGGUUCACGCGAACCGAGAGCACAGAUACACCACCGUCCAGCCUCUUGCUACGGAGGGUACACGCUACUCUCGCCACCGCUCCACGCUCAUUCCGUGUUAUCUUAUUCUGGCCUUAGUCUGCUCGAGGCAAGGCUUACCCAUGACGAGGCAUGUGACCAGUUAAAGGGUUCUCGGUUAGCAAGCCUACGUCGACACGGUCCUUAAUCGACUCAGACGAAGACACUACACCGAGACUCCUUUCUCGUGCAAGUCACCCGCCCGGUCUCAGCUUAAUCAUUUCAACCCAAAAACUUGGUACCUGGCAGAGGUACAUCUUUUCCGAUGUUGAACCCAUCACGGCCAUGAUGGAUCCACCAUCACAUUUUAUUUUUGAAAACAACCCUCCCACAUUGCCAAACAUCUUUUGUAAAACAAAUCCUUUUGUUUUUCUAGAGCAAUACUAAGCAUAGUAAAACCUUUUUGUAAAAACGAGGUUUCAAGGAAGGUAAUCAAGUUCAAGGAAGGUAAUGCAGGAAUUGUUUAAGCAUUCAACUCCUAUCACCUAAUGCAGCAAGCAAGUGAGAAAGAUUUUAAAAACAUCAAGGAAGGUGGCAAAUGCACCAGGGCUUGCCUUCGUUAGUAGGUGAGUCAGGCUCGGACCCGCAGAUAUCAAAGUAGAAACAAUUUCCGGCCUGAGAUUCCGAAGGUGGUGGUGUCUUCUCUUCAGUUACUUCGAUCUCUUCUUCGUUUUCUAAAUAUAACCAUAUAGGUAUAUAUAAGAAUGAAUGCCAUGUAAUGCUCAUGAGAGUGCAAAGAUAAUAAAGGAUUUAUUAUCUAAGUCUUGAAUACAACUUUCCUUCAUGGAACUCCGAGAACUUAGGGUUUCCGGAGUCAGAAAAGGAGUUCAAAGGGCAGGGGUGGGGGUUUUGGGUUCUAGUUAUCAAACAAGGUUCAAAUCAAACCAAACUCUACCCAAGGCUUCUAACUAAUGUGUAGAGCUCACAUAAAAAGUUUGGGGCAUUUUUUAAAUUACCAUUUAUUUUCUAAAAAUCCAGAACCAAUAGUUUAAGCUAUUUUAAAUACUCUAAAAUUGCCUAUUUGAUCUAAAAUAAUGAAACUAUUUUUAUUAAAUACUAUAGAAAAUAGGAAGUCUAGGAAAAUUGGUUUUACAAUUUUAGGAUUUUUCUACAAUUUUCUAUAAUUGUUGGAGUUCUACUGGAAAAAGAAAAAGAUAAAGAAUGAACAGUCCUGGGCCGAUUUCAGCCCAGGCAGCCCAACACCAGAGGGAAAGCACGCGCGCGCGCCCACGGGGAAGACUAUGCAGAAGAGCCCUCACGGUUUUGGCUAAUUGGAGAUGGGUUCGGUCACUGUUGCACUGAGUCGUGACUGUUUGCAGAAAAGACCCCCGGUUUCUAUUUCUUCGCAGGGGGAGGUCCACGACGGCGGUGAACGCGGGGAGGCUCCGGCGAGCUUGCAGACCGGCCGAACGGGGCCAUGACCGGCGCUAUCGAGCGGCGGACACGAAAUUGGAUCCACCCUGACCAUUUCCCCCAACACAAUUUCACUAAUGGUCACAAGGUUUGUUCUAGCCACGGCGACCGUGAACAUGGCGGACUGUUGAGCGCAUUCCCAAUGAAUCAUGGCGGUCCAGAUCAAUUAAAGGGGCCGGGGAGCAUCACCAGCAUGCAGAGACACGAGAACAAUGCGCGAAUUGGAUGGUGCCUUACCAGAACGGACUGGCCACGGUGGAGUUGUGCUUUGCGGUGGCGGAGACCAAUUUGGGGAAAGUUCGAAAUUCACGAGCUCUAGCAAACGAUUGCUAACGAUUCUCGGUGGCUGGGUGGGUGACGAUCUUGCGCAGCAGUCCCGGCCUUCAAUUUAUAGGGAGCUUCGACGGUGGCGUGCAAUUUGGCCGAGCAACGCAGGUGGCCGAAGAUAAGGAAGAAUACCGGCGUAGUGAAUACGUGUUCAACGUCGUGGCAGCUAUUCCAGUGGGCAACGGUGAGCUAAAGUGAAUCGUGGCGAUGCGGUGGCGAGGAUCAGACACGCGGCGAACAACGGCGACGGCACAAAGGCGGUGAGAUUCUAAUCCGAGGGGCGGUGAGAAAGGGGAGAAGUAUCGUGGCUAGCCGGAAUGGCGUCCAGCUCACCGGCGACGAAGAUCUUUCACCCCGCGACGCUAUCCAUCCACCCUGGGCACGAAUCGUGACGUCGACAGCAUGAAUCACAGCGGAGGGAGCCGUCGGCGGUGAGGUCAGUCGCGCUGGCGAUCUGAUCCAUACACGACACUGUACCAUGGCGAGUGCUCCUUCAAAUAACCUGACGGAGCAACUUUAGGUCCUAUUUUCUCCAGAUUUUCUAUGGUACCAAGCCCAAACAUCUAUAGCAAAGUUGUUCCUCUUUAAUAACUCUACAACUUUGUUAUAGAAACCCUAGGUAGAUUCUCACUGGAUCUUAGUCGAAAUGGAUCUCAAACUUGGAUCCAAGUCACUGUCUAUCUGAAAUUCAGACUGUAUGAGCCUGACAGCCUGACUUCAGGCUUAAUUAUCUCCAACAUCUUCUUAACAACUAUGCUUACACUCUUAAGCAAAGUUGUUAUCCUAUGAUUGGUCUACAAAUUUGAUGUGGUGACCUAGGGCAAACUCUCACAAAUUUGAAAACUACAGAGCUCCAAAGUUGAGCCAAAACUCUGAAAUUCAGACUUAGGCUAUAUAGGACUUAAGAGGUGAUUUUUGCAAAUAGACCCAAAACUUAGGGUUUAACUUGCAAAUUCACAUAUUUGUGAACCAAAGGACUUAAUAUGCCUUAACAUUGUAGUUUUUACACUUUAGUCCAAAUGUGCACAGUUUUUGCACAUAGGCCCCUAGGGUUUGGACUUAGGGUUUUCUAGGGUUCCAAUGGGGGUUUUUGCAGGGGUAUGAAUGUGAUUCAAGUUCAUUCUUGGGAACAUUUUAUGACUAUUCCCCUAAAGCUUUUGGGUCUUCUCAAUUUGGGUUAUGUUUUACCCCUUUAAUCCCUAUUUAGGGUUAAGUUCCCUAUCCAGGGUUCUAUUUGCAAAAUGCUAUAACAAUACAACUUGUUUGAAAUUUUUACCUAGUGAAUGCACUCUAGGUGUAUCAAACAUAUGCAAUGCCAAUGUUUAUGAUGCCAUGCUCAAGUUUUAGUUACAGUAACACCAGGGGUGUUACAUUAGCGUUUAUAUCUGGGUUCUCCGAAGCCAAGGGGUGGAACCGUUUGCCGAAGGCUUCUGCCGAGUGCACGAGCUUCAUUAUCAGACCAAGGCUAAAGGAGAUGGGCUGCAUGAAAACUUUGGCUGCUACAAUUUUGCCUAUCGCAAGAGUACAAAAUUUCCAGUGAUCAGUUAUCGUAGCAAGUGGCCAGCUGGCUGGAAGUCUGAGUGGUUUUACGUCAAAGUUGACGAAGAUAAGGAGAAGUUGGUCCAGAGUCCGCUAGAAUUAAUCUUUGGAGAGACCAGACCCCAGUGCAACAUGACACCAGGGAGUCCAAGCCAAAUUGCUCUGGCUGAAUUUAGAGUUAUUGCGGAGCAUAUCGGCACUAGGGACUUAGUGCAAGAAUUCUUGGCUUUCAGAAUGUUCCCAACUUUAAAAGAGUGGGACAUGCCGAAGCUUAAAGGAGAAAAGAAGAAGGGGGAACUUAUUCGGUUACCCUAUCAUUAUAAAUUCAAGAAAUAUUUCAAAGUGCCUUGCCAAGAGUGGCUAGACACGAUUGAAAUAAUGUGCAAUGAGAUUCUCGACAAUUACUCUAAAAAAGAAGAUCAACUAAUGACUGCAGCCUUCGGCACCCGUCCGAAGCGAAGGUUGUACCGAGUAAUGGAUGCUCUAGGCUUUGAGUAUCCCGACUACGAGCGGCUAGACAAGGAUGCCGAAGGGCAGAAGAGAAAGAGAGUGGCUGGUGCUUUGAGUAAAGAAGCUACUAAAUCAAUGAAAGACGAUGAAGAACAAUUGAAAAAGAAAAAGCUAAAGCCUGAGCCGAAAACAGAUGCUUCGAAGAAGAGAAAAGCUACAACUCCGAAGCAGAAGGCAAUUGAUGAAGAAGAAGAAACUGCUGCAACACCCUCUGCCUCUGACGUGGAGGAAAUCUUAAAGGUAAUGACUGAAUCUUUGCCUGUCAAGCUAAGCCCACUGGGGCCACAUCUGACAAAGCUUUUUCAGAAGGAAAAGGAGCCCACAAAAACGAAGAAGGCAGCUAGGCCGAAAAACAAAGAAUCAUUACAGUGACGGAAGUCAUUGAAGGGACACCACCACAAGCUUCAGCUCCGAAGGCACGAGCUGUUGAGAGCACAAUAGCUACCGAAGCUGCACCUUGCCACAACCGAAGAUAUUCACUUAGAAAGCACGAUUUCUAAUAUUGAUAAAAUACUGCUAGACAUGGCCGCAGAAGAAGCUGCUGCAGCCACCGAAGAGACUACGGCCCGAGAGCCCGAGAAGAAGAAAGAAAUAGCCGAAGACACUUCGGAAGAUGAAAUUUUCAACUUUCAAAACUUAGUUGGUCAAGAGCUGACAAAGGCUGAAAAAGAGGAGCUAAAAGAGUAUGUCAUAUCUUGCGGAUAUCGGCCGAAGGCACUUCUCUUCGGUGGUGUCGAUGACGAAAAGUUGGGCUGUGUCCGGGAUCAUACCAGAGCGAAGGUUAUUGGUACUCUAUCAAAGAGUAUUGGUUUCCCGAAGCUCGAGACGGACAUUAGCCGCUACCGACGACAGCACAUCGUCGGUAGUUUAUUCUAUUCCAAUUUCAAGGUAAACAACUUUUCUUUAACUUUUAUUGUUUCAAUAACGAAGAUGUUUUCUAACGAAGGUUGUUUGUGCGCAGAGUAUGCUUUUGAGUAAAGCUUUGAAAAUGCAGCAAGAUUUGGAAGAUAAAAAAAAUGAAGUUAUAAUUGAGAGUUUAGAAAGCAAAAUAAAAGACCAAUCAGCUGCUCUUGAAAAGAAGGACUUCGAGCUUCAGACAACCGAAGGCUUAUUGGCAGAAGCUGAAGCUAAAAUAGCAGAACUAAAUAUGAAGCUUCUCUCCCAGUCAGAAAGCUUCGAACAAGAAAAACAGAAGCUUAAUGCAAAAUUCGAGGUCGAGGUCCAGAAAAGUUCAGAUUUGCAAAAAAUCAUUGACAGGGCUUCAAAACAAAUGUCUGGAGUUCAGUAAUCGAUGUAUACAACGACUGAAGCAGGUCUUUUAUUUGGUUGGAGCCAGCAGCGAGAAAUUUAAUCCUUCGACUGAAGACUUGCCAGGGGCCUUCGAACAUAUCGAAGGUGAAAUUGAUGACCUUGAUGAAGUUAUAGCUGGACAUGGUGACUUUUGUGCCCUGGUAGCUUCUCGGGGCACAGCUGUCGCCUUCCUGAAAUCUGGCUGCGAACAUGGAAAGGUUGUCAAUAGACCCAAUUUUAGUUUAUCACCAGCAGAUCUGAAUAAUAUUCCCAACCUUGCCCGAAGUAUAGCCAAUAGAUUUAUAAAACUGGUAUGGACAAAGGGUGGACGAAGCAUAGCUGGUGAUGAAGCUCGGAGUCAUCUUAAGCCGGUAACAAAAUCAUACCUUGUGCUUACCUCUUCCUUCAAAUUUGAAUCUUCCUUACAAUACUUUAAUAUAUACAGGAUGACGAAGCCGACAAAGCUGAAGAGUAAGAAGACGAAGCCGAAGCUUAACAGAUGACGAAGUCGAAGCCGAAGCUCAAUGGAUACAAAUGAAGCUUGAAUAGAUAACUGUAGAAAAAACUCUAAGAACUCUUGUAAUAACCUUUGUAAAGAAUAAUGUAAUUAAAUUUUACUCUAAACUUUGUCCAUGCCUUGUAAUAUAUUCUUACCUUUCCGUCAAUGUAUAAAGUGCUUCGGUGUGAACGAACUUAGCAUUUUUGAGCCGAAGGCGAAGAACACCUUCCCUUCUUUUCGUACACAGUGAAGCAUAAAACUGCUUCUAUUUCUUUUUUGCCAAAGCCUUAACUUUAGAGCCGAAGCAACUGCCUGUGUUAUGAUGAUGAUCCUAUGUAUGUCAAAAUGAAUGUUUAUGAAUGCAAAUGUAUGAUGUAAUGUACCGUGCAAAUGAAUGUCCAAACACACGCAUACGAAGCCACAACCAUAGCCUUUAUUCCCUUAGGAAUAACCAAAGUCUCUUUGUCGUUUAUUUUUCGGCUUCACCGCUUAUUUUUUGGUGUAUCAGCGCUGACUUUUCGCUGUAAGUUCUGCAUUCCCUUAGGAACGUCUUUUGAACUUAUUCGCCUUCUAUUUCGGCGGUAUCGCGUUGACUUUUCGCGCUUCGCCUUAUAUUUCGGCGGAAUCAGCGUUGACUUUUCGCUGUAAGAUCUGCAUUCCCUUAGGAACGACUUUUGAGUAGAAAACUUACACUGCGCUCCCUUAGGAACGACUUUUUGUAGCUUCGUCGUGCUCUGCAUCCCCUUAGAGACGUCUUUCGAGCUUCUCCCUGUUUUUUCUUUUCUCUUUGCACUCGAUGGUGCAUGCUCAACUUUUACAUUUACAUUUUUUUGGGGGAUAUUGCUCUUGUAGAGCUAAAAUAAGAAAAAGAGAAAUUACAUGCUAUGGCCCAUUAAAAACCUUUCUCCCCCUUUAGAAAGGAAAAGGGUGCCAUAAGAAAAAAUAAAAAAGAUUACAUCAAGCUAUACAUAAUAUCGCCGAAGCUCAUCCGCAUUCCAAGAUCUAGGAAUGUCGUUGCCGUCCAUAUCCUUCAAUCUGUAAGAACCGGGUCUUGACGAAGACACUACCAGAAAAGGUCCUUCCCACUUCAAUUGUAGCUUGCCUACUGUAUCUGGGUUGGCAACUCUCCGAAGUACCAAGUGCCCUGGCUUGAUGUUUUUUAACCGAACUUUUCUAUCACGCCAUUUUAUUGUUUCAGCUUGAUAUUUAUUGAUGUUCUCCACAGCCUGAAGCCUGAUCCCUUCUAUAGCAUCUUUUGCCACAGAAUAAUCAGCUUCGUCCUCUGCCGAAGCUACUGUUCUUAUUGAUCCUGCUUUAGCUUCUUUUGGGGUUAUUGCUUCGUCACCAAACAAUAAUUUGAAUGGUGUAAAACCUGUUGACCUUGAUAUUGUUGUGUUGUGGCUCCACACCACUUUGAUCAAUUCAUCUGGCCACUUUCCUCUGGGCUGAUUGAAGAUUAACUUCAUUAUUCCCGUCAUUAUAAUGCCAUUAGCUCUUUCGACAAGUCCAUUUGACUCCGGAUGUCUAACCGAUGCAAAAUGGAUCUCCGUGCCAAUUUGUUCACAAAACUCUUUGAAAGUUUCGGCAUCGAACUGUGUUCCGUUGUCCACAGUAAUAGCCUUCGGCACUCCGAAGCGACAAACAAUAUUUUGCCAGAAAAAUUUCUGGACAGUGACCGAAGUUAUUGUGGCUAAAGGCUUUGCCUCGAUCCACUUGGAAAAAUAUUCUACCGCCACUACAACAUAUUUUAGAUUUCCUUGUGCUGGUGGAAGUGGGCCUAGCAAAUCGAGGCCCCAUCUUUGCAACGACCAAGUGGCUGUAUUAACUGAGUUAGAGACAAAGCUUGUUUCUGAUCUCUUGCACAUUUUUGACAUCCUUCACAUUUUUGAACUAACCCUGCUGCAUCCGAAGCUGCCUUCGGCCAAUAAAAUCCUUGACGAAAAUUUUUUCCCAGCAAGGGCCUAGAUCCGAUGUGAGAUCCACACAGACCUGCGUGUAUCUCCUUCAUCAAUUCGAUACCUUCGAUUCUUGAUAAACAUUUGAGGAGUGGUGAACAAACUCCAUGUUUAUACAAUUCCCCUUCUAUCAUGACAUAUGGUCUUGUUCUUGCCUCCAUUCUUUUGUUAUAAGCUUCGUCACUUGAAAGACAAUUUCCUUGAAGGAAAGAUAUUAUUUCAGUUCUCCAAUCUUCACUGUGCACUGGAGAAAUAGUGAGCACUGCUCUUUCCAUGAGCUCAACCGAAGGUGCUUUUAUUGUUUCAAAAAAUACUUCGGAGGGUAAAGGGAGCCCCUGAGCCGCUGAUUUGGCUAGCAAAUCUGCAUGCUCAUUUUCACCUCUUGGAAUAUUUUUGACAGAAAACCCUUCGAAGGAAGCUUCCAACCUUCGGACUGCAUCCAGAUAUUUUUCUAGCUUCGGGUCUCGUGCCCUGCUGCUCUUAUCCACAUGGCCAGCAAUAACUUGAGAAUCAGUAUUUAGGAUGGCCCUUCUUUUUCCCAUUGCCCUUAGUUUUCGAAGCCCCAAAAGAAGUGCUUCGUACUCAGCAAUAUUAUUUGUGCAACUGAAGUCCAGUUUGACUGCAAAACAUGUUUUGACUUUUGAAGGUGCUACUAGGACUGCAGCUGCUCCUACACCGAAGGUUCCCCAAGAACCAUCACAGAACACCGUCCAAGCUUCGGUAUCCUUGUUUGUCACUUCUUCGUGAGCCCCUGGCGUCCAGUCAGCAAUGAAGUCUGCUAGCGCCUGGGAUUGAAUUGAAGAUCUGUGCACGUAAUCAAUGGUAAAUUCAUUGAGCUCCGCAGCCCACUUUCUUUCCCUUCCAGUAGCUUCUCUAUUCCUCAUAAUAUCCUUCAGAGGCUAUGACGAGGGAACAAUUAUGUGGUAAGCUUGGAAAUAAUGCCGAAGCUUCCUGGAAGCCAUUAAUACAGCAUGCAAUACUUUCUCCAACUCUGUAAUUUUUCUUUGAUAAGCUUAACACUUCAGAGACAAAAUAUACUGGGACUUGCUUUUUAUUUUGUCCUUCAAGCUUCUCUUGUACAAGUGCCGCACUCACUGCAGAGUGCGAAGCUGCCACAUACAAUAGCAGAGGAGCCCCUGGAGCGGGUGGAGUUAGCGUAGUUAGGUCUAUCAGGUACUGCUUUAGCUCUUCGAAGGCUUUCUGCUGAGCUGAUCCCCAUUGAAAGACGUCGGCCGACUUCAGCACUUCAAAGAAUGGUAAAUUUCUCUCUGCUGAUCUAGAUAUGAAUCGAUUCAAAUAUGCCAGUCUUCCUAUCAGCCGUUGAGCCCCCUUCUUUGUGCUUGGCGGCUCCAUCCGAAGGAUUGCUUUGAUUUUAUUUGGAUGAGCUUCGAUCCCUUUUGUUGAAACUAAACAACCAAGGAAUUUUCCCUUUUUUACUCCGAAGACACAUUUUUUGGAUUCAACUUCAGACCAGCUUGCCUAAAAUUAGCAAAUGUUUCCUGCAGAUCAGCAAUGUGAUUUUCCUGCUUCGUGCUUUUUUACUAUGAUAUCAUCAACAUAUGUUAGCACAUUUCUGUCUAUCUGAGAGUGAAGGACUUUCGAUGUCAUCCUACUAAAGCUUCCUCCAGCAUUCUUGAGCCCCUCAGGCAUCCGAAGAUAACAAUAUGUUCCGCUGGGGGUUAUGAAGCUGGUUUUUGGCUCAUCUUCCUUCUUCAUCCAGAUUUGAUGGUAUCCUAGAUAGCAAUCUAGUAUACUCAUGAGCUUUGACAAAGCUGCUGCAUCUACUAGAGAAUCUAUUCUUGGUAAUGGGAACUCAUCCUUUGGACAAGCUUUGUUGAGAUCAGUAAAAUCAAUGCACAUUCUCCAUUUACCAUUGGCCUUCUUCACCAUAACAGUGUUGGCUAGCCAUUCUAGGUAUUUUACUCUUCUGAUGACUCCAGCACUGAGAAGUCUUUUCACUUCAUUCCGAGCACCUUUGGCUUUGUCAUCAGACAUUUUCCGAAGCCUUUGCUUUCUGGGUAUGAAGGAUGGAUCGACAUUGAACGAAUGUUCAAUGACAUCCCUGUUGACACCACAUAGAUUGUUGGCUGACCAUGCAAAAACAUAUUUGUUGUUGAACAGAAACCUUGUUAGAGUUUUUUCCUGUUCCUCAGACAAUUGAGAUCCAAGCAAUACCUUUUGCUCUACUAUAUCUUCACAUAAAAGCAUGGGCUUCGGCUGAUCGGCCGAAACAACCUUCUCCCUUCUGUACUUGUACUGCUCACAAGCUUCUGCUCCAUCUAUAUUAUGAAUUGCUUUUGAGUCUGUCCAGUUUCCUUCAGCCUUUCUAGCAGCUUCCUGACUUCCAUGAAUAGCAAUAGGCCCUUGAUCCGAAGGUAUCUUCAUGCAUAGAUAUGCUGGAUGAAGAAUUGCUUCAAAAGCAUUGAGUGUCCCACGACCAAUGAUUGCAUUGUAGGGGUACUCCAUGUCGAAAAUAUCAAACACAACUUGCUCAGUCCUUGUAUUGUUGACAAAUCCGAAGGUCACUAGCAUCGUGAUCUUGCCGAGCGCUACAAUAUGCCUUCCUCCGAAGCCACAAAGAGGGUGUGUAGCAUCAUGAAUCUUAUCCUCUGGCUCUUGCAUCUGUCUGAAGGCCUUAGCAAAUAUAAUAUCCGCUGCACUGCCUGUAUCAACUAGAACAUUGUGGACCAAAAAUCCUUUGAUAACACAAGAAAUAACCAUAGCAUCAUUGUGAGGGUAAUCCUUGAGCUGAAGGUCCUCUUGGGAGAAGGUAAUUAGGAUAUGGGACCAUCCCGACUUGAUGAAGGGUUGCUGCACUCCGACAUGCUGUACCCUUCUCUGUGCCUCCUUCUUCUGCUUUUUGUUGGCCGGCUCUGAGCAUGAAUCGCCUGUUAUCGGGAGUACCAGCUUCGUAGCCGAAGCAGCUCCAGCUUGGUUGUUGAACGAAGCCAUCAACUCAAAAAGUGGAAGUGAGUUCACCGGAGGUGGGCGCCAAUGUUGGGGACUUGUUCUCAAAUGCUAUGAAUUAAGAACAAGGCAACAUAAAAUGUUAAAUAUUAAUGCCCUUCGUCCACUGAAGCAUUAUUUCCCCAAGGAUUUAAUGAACUUCGGACGAAGGCCACGAGCAAGAUAUCACGAAGGUCAUACCUUCGUGAUUAGAGUUAUGAAACAAUGUAGGAUGAAAUAUAAAAAAAUAUGAAACAUAAGGGAAUGAUAUAUCAAAAACACAUAAGAUUAUUCGUAUAUUUUAUUAUACAAGCCUAAAUAUUAAAACAUAAUAUUUAGGUACAUUUAUACCUUCGCCUUGGCAGAAAGUAAUAAUUCCAGCGUAAUGUGUCAGUGAUUACAAGAUUGCGUGAACAGAGGUACUGUUCACCUAUUUAUAGGCACAGGGCGCAGCCUCUGUAUAAUUACAUUUAUGCCCUUUACAAUCAACUACAAUAAUGACACAGAAUAUCAUGGGUCUUUAGGUCAUUUCAUCUUUAAGUCGGUUCACCCCUUCGUCUUGAGACAUGUCACUUGUGCCGAAGCUUUAUAGGCGAUAGCUUCGGCAUUGCUUUUGAUAGGAUCUACCGAAGGUGUUUCUUUCUUUAGGAUCUUCGGCUAUGAAGCAUACCCCCAACAGGAACCUAUUGGCUUAGGUCUUGGGCCAUGUUGCAGAAAAGCGAAGAGGAAGGAGACAAAAUAAAAGCUGCUUGUCAAUGAUUAGAGAUUGUGGCAAUGAAGAUUUUUGCUUCUAAUGGAUGGAGGUUUAUAAAUAGGAAUGUGUUACAACCAAACUAUCUAUCCUUUCAGUUGAGCUAUUGUUUUGUUUUAGAGGUUCGAUCCUCUUUUUGGGGCAGAUGUUUUUGGGGCAGAUGGAUGAGCUGUUGGUCCUGUAAUAACUUGGCCCUAUCAUCCCAGUGAGGUGAAAGCCGGAUAUUUUCCAUUUUCUAAAAAAAUAUAGUCAUAUUGAUUGACAGUUUAUGAACUAAAAAUUUGACAGUUUAUGACUAAAAAUGACUAAACUUUAGUCAUUAGUGUUUAGGAGGUGGGAACCAAACUCACUCUGUCUAACACGAUAAUGAUCGUGACCUUCAUGCAUGGCUACAUCCAUCUUUAUCUAUGUUGAUUUUGUUGCUUAGAGAUAUGGAUAGAGUUUUGUUGACGCUAAAUGCAACCGAAUUAACCUGUAACCCAAGAAUAUAAUUAGGCCGUUCAGCCAAUAUAUAUCAACACACCCUCAUUCCAUGUGAAUGGUUGCCCGAAUACGCCCACCUCGCGUUAGCCUCAACCGCUGGGAACGUGGCCGAGCCGCGUCUCCGCGGUGGGGCAGCAAAACAAAGGCUACCAUGCACACAUGGGUGCAGCAUGCCACCAUCCUCUACAACCAACCAAUCACGUGCUUUGUCUGGUCAAGGGCAUGUGGUGUGCCUUAGCGUAUUUGGUUGGGCAACUAAUCACGUGGAUUAUGAGCCAAGCUAGGAAAUCACGUUUCCAUAUAGUUGUUUUACAUAUGGUACAAAAGAGUAAAAGACCUACCUCUAUAAUUUGUCUUGAUAUAACCUAUUUGAAGUUUUUUAUUAAAUUAUUUUGUCAAAUUGUUGUCUUGUGCAGUCUUGAUAGCUAGCAACCAAUCGCCCAGUUUGAUUCGGCUUCUAAACCCACUCCUUUUAUUUUUUGAGUUCACGACAUUUGUAAGCAGUGAUGCCUCAUGCUACCCCUAUUUUCAGUGUAAAUAUGAUCUCUUAAGAUUCAUACAAUGUAAAUAUAAGAGAUAGCAAUUGUCCAGUACUUGCAACAACCUAGUACUUGCAACAACUUGCAUACUAUGAUGGCAAUAAGUGAAAAUUGAAGAAUACUCGGUAUUUCUUUUAGAAAUUUGUAUUUGCAUUUUUUAUGUUGGUGAUGGAUGAGGCCAUAAGGGACAUAUAAAGGGAUAUUUCUUGGUGUAUGCUCUUUACUGAUGAUAUGGUGUUAGUUGAUGAGAGUAGGGAAGGGGUUAAUAGGAAGCUAGAGUUCUAGAAGCACACGUUGGAGUCGAAAGAUUUUAGACUUAGUAGGACCAAGACCGAGUACAUGAUGUGCGUUUUCAGCAUGACUAGACAUGAUGAUGGAGAAGUUACCCUCGAUGGGCAAUUGGUGGCUAGGAAGGAGACUUUUCGGUAUUUAGAAUCAAUGAUACAAAAGGAUGGUAAUGUUGAUAAAGAUAUUAGGCAUAAAUUUCAGUCGGUUGGUUGAAAUGGUGUCAUGUUUCUGGCGUCCUCUAUGGUAAGAGGGUGCCACAAAAGAUUAAAGGUAAGUUUUAUAGGAUGGUGUUUCGCCCGGCUAUGGUGUAUGAUGUUGAAUGUUGGCCGAUAAAAAGGGGACAUGUCCAACAAUUGAGUGAAGAGGUGCACAUGUUACAUUGGUUUUGUGGGCACACAAGAGGGAUAGAGUCUGAAACGAAGAUAUUCUAAGAUAGUGUCAUUGGCACCAAUUAGGAGAAAUUAUAUCAACAUCGGUUGAGAUGGUUUAGGUUUUUCUUUCUAUUCUUAUUUCUUUUGGGUUUCGUCUCUGGUCUACCCUAAUUGUUUGGGACAAAAGGCUAUGUUGUUAUUGUUGUUACUGCUGGUGCUGCUAUUUAUGUUUUAGGUAUAAGGACCGUGGAGAGUCUAAAUUGAGGAUAAGGAACAAACAUUUCAACAUUAUAUUACCUGCUCUGUCACACAAUGCAAUUUGCAUCUAGCAGUGUAAGGGCCUGUUAUUCGAGGUGGAUUGAAGAGAAUUGGAGGAUGUCCCCUCUAAUUUCGAUAUGGAUCGAAGGAGAUUAUUGGAGAACCUAGGCGUAAGACGGCUACCAAAACCUGACGCAGCGUAGCUCGCCUACCCUGGUAGUAUUGAAAGUCUUUCCAUUCUCGCAGAUUUCACAGUGUUCAAAAGGUUAUAUAAGAAGAGAUGAUAAACAGGUGUUCUUGUUUUAUACAGUGUGUAUAUAUAGAGAGAGACAAAGAGCAAGUGAAUUUGUAGGAACAACGCCCACGGAGAACGAACGCAAGCCUAUUUCCUCAUCACAAGGAACGGAGGCAUACAUAGGUCUCAUGUGUGAGCACUGAGCACCGCUGGUUCCGGAUCAUCCUCAUGCCUUCCACCAUGGGUCCUCGCCGGUCCUGAAGUCGGUCUCCACCCACGGGACGAAGAGGACCUUGCCGUCGUCGACGUCGGCGUGAACCAGGGCCAGCGACUGUUAAUACAAGAACGCGCAAUAUUAAUGCAUACCAAGCAGAUCAACAAUUCGUUCCAAUAAGGAAGAUAUCGCCCCAGCUAGCGUGCGUUUGUUUUUACCAGAGGCGCCGGUCCACGGACCACCUUGCCCUGGUUGUUGUACUGGGAUCCGUGGCAGGGGCAGAUGAACUUGUUCUCAGCGCCGUUCCACGGCACGACGCAGCCGAGGUGAGUGCACACGGCGUUGAUCCCGUAGGUGGCCAGCGUCUUGUCCUGCUCCACCACCAGGUACGUGGGGUCACCCUGCACGCGCGGCGGCGCGCACAAACACGCCGGCCGUCAGCAUCAGCACGACAGACAUGCCUGCAGCUGCAGGUGACGACGACGAUGGCGGUGGGGUGACUGACCUUGAGCCCCUGCGCGAGCGUGCGGUCGUUGGGACCGUGCGUGUUGAGCCACGCCUCCACCGUGAUGUCGUUGCCCAGCUUGUCCUUCGCGUAGGUCCCGCCGCCGGCGUUCCCGGAGCUGCGUGCAAGAUCAACAGGACGAGGUACUUUCCGUUAAGUGCUGGCUGGCAGCUAACACGUAUGUACAGCGAGCCGCUAGGUAGCGAGACGACUCACCCGGCAGGGACGAAGAAGGCGCCGUAGGGGACGACCAUGCCGACGGUGGGCAACGAGAUGGCGCCGAGGAGGAGGAGGUUCAUCAGCUUCCGCUUCUCCAUGUCGGGGACGCGGUCGGCGGAGAUGCUGCUCGCCGCCUGGCACACAAUGCUCCGCUGGGCGCGCUCGCGGCCCAUGCUCAGGCCAAGCCCCUUCACCGGCUUGCCCAGCGAAGCGCGGGACCGGUAGAGCUGACAUUGCAGGCACGGGCAGCACAUACAAAUAAAGCAUGCGUAUUAUUCGCGCGAUUCAGAUUUAUCUUUGGUGAGCAAGAUCGAACACGCUGAUGAAGACUAGCAACGCCAUGGGCAGAGACUCUGUUUCCCCACGGCCAAACUGACACGAGACAAGGGUCAAGGCCAGGUGAGAGAGGCGCCCCGCGGCGGAAGAAGGAAGUUGCUGGCUCACCUGGGUGGGAUUGGCGGCGGUGGAGAGCGCCGCGGAGGUCGCCAUGGCUGCAGCAGGCGAGGAUCGGUAGGGGUCAGGAGUCGGGACAAUACGGCU
This 29038-nucleotide long non-coding RNA is filed under the name Zea mays. RNAcentral's name for it is "long non-coding RNA (ZMAY_LNC003287)". The record is from RNAcentral. Lineage: Eukaryota; Viridiplantae; Streptophyta; Magnoliopsida; Poales; Poaceae.